Long non-coding RNA from Solanum lycopersicum (tomato), 724 nucleotides. RefSeq lists it as uncharacterized. NCBI's taxonomy places the organism in Eukaryota, Viridiplantae, Streptophyta, Magnoliopsida, Solanales, Solanaceae. The record is from RefSeq and is a predicted model, not a curated record.
UUGAAUUUGUUUUUUCAUACUUACUCUUUAUGUGUGUACUUGAAUUUUGUGUUUUUUUUAAUAAUAAAACUGCAUUAUAGGCUGAGAUGGAGAAUAUUGAAAUGCAACAAAAAGAAGACGGAAAAGAGAUGAUUGAUGCAAUUUCUUCUUUCAUGGGAUCAGAACAUCCAGGACGUUUGAGAUUAUAUGGAAGAGGGGUUACAAAAACUACUUUGAAAGAGAAAGUGGGAAUUUUGAAGACCUCUCAAAUGCAACAAAUGACCUAAUGAAAAAAAUGGAAGAGAGAAUGAUGAAAAUGGAGGAAAAAAUUGAGGAAUAGAAAGAACAAUAUGACCAACAAAAGAUCAUGAUGCAAUAAGAAAUUGUAGAUGAUGUCAUAAAAAAACUUCAGCUUUCAGGCCUACCAAUUGAUGCUUAUGUUAUAGCAACAUUACUUGAUGUUUCGUCAACAGAAAAUAAAUAUUUGAUCAGUCCAUCGUUCAUCUACCUGUAGCAAAAAUCAAGGUGAACAAAAUGAUGAGCAAAGCGGGGAUGAAAGCAGCGAAGAGCUUACUUAAAAAGAAUUGGUUUCUACAAAUAUUCUAGAACUAUUUUACUUUUUGGAAUAAUUUUGUGAACUUAAAUGAGUCCAACUCUUGAACAUUCUAGCAGUCUUUUUACUUUUUGUCCUAAUUUUGUGAAGUUGAAUGAAUGUAAACUCUUAAACAUUCAAGGACUAUUUUUA